Molecule: small RNA, 28 nt
Filed under: Bombyx mori (domestic silkworm)
Lineage: Eukaryota; Metazoa; Arthropoda; Insecta; Lepidoptera; Bombycidae
Description: ovarian small RNA-13382
Source: RNAcentral
CAGUUUCAUAGAGAGCAAUUGUGGGCAG